GCUUUGUUCAGCAUUUUGGCAUCUCGAUCUGCAUCAAAACCCUGAUGACUUCUCACUUUGGCCUGGAGAAAAUAAUUGAAAAGAGUCUCAAACAGUCGCUGGCUCAUGGUAGUUUCUCUGGAAGAAUGUGUUGACCUGACUAAAAGGAUGAGAGUGGCUUCCCUCCUCUCCGCUGGCAGAGGGACGCUUCGCAGCUGCCUUUCCGUGAACAGCUCUAGGGGGUGAGAUUCUCACCAUACCCACCUCUUGAUUACUUAUAUUUGCCUACAUCAAGUUUGGAUUUGACAGAAUCAGAACCAUGCCUGGUGUCAUCUCCUUUUCUCCUUCCCCAGCUGGAUGCUUCUGUAGGAAGGUGGCCGGGAUGAUUCCAAGCAGCAGCAGUGGGAAAGGAAGAGGGUUUCCUGUGAUUUCUGGGAGGCGGUCACGUGUGGAGGUGUAGAGGGGAGAGGAGAGGGACUUCCUGGGAGAGAAGAGUAAGCAGACCUCACAGAACAGGGAUGGGAGAGUUGUUUUGUCUUGUGUCAUUAUAAAUAUUUAGUGAUAUAAGUUAUUUCAGGUGCUGCAUAAUAUCUUCCUUUACUAAAUUGAGCCUGUUUAUUUACAUCUCUCAGAUUCUGGUGGUUCACAAAAUGAUGAUUCCAGCCAACAUUUGAAUAUCCUUCUAACCUUAUGAGUCUCAAUAACAAAUCAUAAAUUGAUCUUGCCAAAGAAAGCCUUUCCUUCUGUGCUGCCCACCAAGGUUAAGUUUCCAACACUUCAAAAUUGUUACAUGUCCGUUAUGCUUUAAAUUGUAUCCCCCCAAAAGCCAUGUGGAGGUCCUAACCUUCAGUACCAGUGAAUGUGACUUUAUUUGGAAAUAGUCUUUCUAGAUGUAACCAAGUUAAGAUGGUAUUGUGGUGUCCUUAUAAAAACAGGAAAACACCAGGUGAAAACAGACAUACAUAGGGAGAAGGCUGUGUGAUGACAGAGGCAGAGACUGGAGUGCUUUAGGUGCAAGCCAACAAAUGCCAUGGACAGAUGGCCACCCCCAAAUGCAGGAAAAGGGAGGGGAAGGAGUCUCCUCUACAGGUUUCAGAGAGAGAACAGCCCUGCCAACUCUGUGAUUUUGGCUUCUAGCCUCCAGAAUUGUGAGAUCAUAGAUUUCUGUUGUGUUAAGCCACCAAAUUUGUAGUACAUUGUUACAGCAGCCUUAGGAAACUAAUAUGUUAAAACAAAACAAAAAAAAAAGUGUCAGUUGCUGUGAUUCUUACAGCAAAUGCACUGUGCUGUGUAAUUUGUAUUUAAUAAACUUUUGA
Long non-coding RNA from Manis javanica (Malayan pangolin), 1295 nucleotides. RefSeq lists it as uncharacterized. The record is from RefSeq and is a predicted model, not a curated record. Lineage: Eukaryota; Metazoa; Chordata; Mammalia; Pholidota; Manidae.